GACGAACGCUAGCGGCGUGCUUAACACAUGCAAGUCGAACGGUGAAAGCGGAGCUUGCUCCGCUGGAUCGGUGGCGAACGGGUGAGUAACACGUGGGCAACCUGCCCCUCACUUCGGGAUAACUCCGGGAAACCGGGGCUAAUACCGGAUAUGACCUCCUUGGGCAUCCUUGGAGGUGGAAAGUUUUUCGGUGAGGGAUGGGCCCGCGGCCUAUCAGCUUGUUGGUGAGGUAGUGGCUCACCAAGGCGACGACGGGUAGCCGGCCUGAGAGGGCGACCGGCCACACUGGGACUGAGACACGGCCCAGACUCCUACGGGAGGCAGCAGUGGGGAAUAUUGCGCAAUGGGCGAAAGCCUGACGCAGCAACGCCGCGUGCGGGAUGACGGCCUUCGGGUUGUAAACCGCUUUCAGCAGGGAAGAAGCCGCAAGGUGACGGUACCUGCAGAAGAAGCACCGGCUAACUACGUGCCAGCAGCCGCCGUAA
Molecule: ribosomal RNA, 485 nt
Filed under: uncultured bacterium
Lineage: Bacteria
Description: partial 16S ribosomal RNA
Rfam family: Bacterial small subunit ribosomal RNA
Source: RNAcentral